This 324-nucleotide ribosomal RNA is filed under the name uncultured eukaryote. Its description in RNAcentral is "partial 18S ribosomal RNA". It matches the Rfam family "Eukaryotic small subunit ribosomal RNA", at positions 1470 to 1796 of the family's 1831-position model. The record is from RNAcentral.
CCCUUAGAUGUCCUGGGCUGCACGCGCGCUACACUGAUGUGUCCAGUAAGCACCUAACCUCUUCCGAAAGGAACGGGUAACCUUUGCAAAGCACAUCGUGAUGGAGAUAGAUUAUUACAAUUAUUAGUCUUGAACGAGGAAUUCCUAGUAAGCACAAGUCAUCAGCUUGUGUUGAUUACGUCCCUGCCCUUUGUACACACCGCCCGUCGCUCCUACCGAUUGAAUGUUCCGGUGAGCUCUUCGGACUGCGCGGUCUGCAGUUUCUGCGUUCCGUGCGGAAAGUUGCGCAAACCUUAACAUUUAGAGGAAGGAGAAGUCGUAACA